RNAcentral lists this ribosomal RNA (183 nucleotides) under Photobacterium phosphoreum. RNAcentral describes it as "partial 23S ribosomal RNA". It matches the Rfam family "Bacterial large subunit ribosomal RNA", at positions 2766 to 2925 of the family's 2925-position model. Lineage: Bacteria; Pseudomonadati; Pseudomonadota; Gammaproteobacteria; Vibrionales; Vibrionaceae. The record is from RNAcentral.
AACCGCUGAAAGCAUCUAAGCGGGAAGCGAGCCUCAAGAUGAGUCAUCCCUAGACCUUUAAGGUCUCUAAAGGGUUGUUGAAGACUACAACGUUGAUAGGUCAGGUGUGUAAGUGCUGCGAGGCAUUGAGCUAACUGAUACUAAUUGCCCGUGAGGCUUAACCAUACAACACCCAAGGGGUUU